CAAGGAAUUUUCCGCAAUGGGCGCAAGCCUGACGGAGCAACGCCGCGUGCAGGAAGACGGCCUUCGGGUUGUAAACUGCUUUUGUCGGGGAAGAUAAUGACGGUACCCGACGAAUAAGCCCCGGCUAACUCCGUGCCAGCAGCCGCGGUAAUACGGAGGGGGCAAGCGUUGUUCGGAUUUACUGGGCGUAAAGGGCGCGUAGGCGGGGUAUCCAGUUAGGGGUGAAAGCCCGGGGCUCAACCUCGGAACUGCCUUUAAAACUGAUACUCUAGAGUCCGGAAGAGGGUCGCGGAAUUCCCAGUGUAGAGGUGAAAUUCGUAGAUAUUGGGAAGAACACCGGUGGCGAAGGCGGCGACCUGGUCCGGUACUGACGCUGAGGCGCGAAAGCGUGGGGAGCAAACAGGAUUAGAUACCCCCGUAGUCC
This 424-nucleotide ribosomal RNA is filed under the name uncultured prokaryote. RNAcentral describes it as "bacterial SSU rRNA". It matches the Rfam family "Bacterial small subunit ribosomal RNA", at positions 355 to 796 of the family's 1533-position model. The record is from RNAcentral.